Molecule: ribosomal RNA, 467 nt
Filed under: uncultured bacterium
Lineage: Bacteria
Description: partial 16S ribosomal RNA
Rfam family: Bacterial small subunit ribosomal RNA
Source: RNAcentral
GACGAACGCUGGCGGCGUGCUUAACACAUGCAAGUCGAACGGAAAGGCCUCUUUCGGGGGGUACUCGAGUGGCGAACGGGUGAGUAACACGUGAGUAACCUGCCCUUGACUUUGGGAUAACCUCAGGAAACUGGGGCUAAUACCGGAUAGGAGCUCCUGCUGCAUGGUGGGGGUUGGAAAGUUUCGGCGGUUGGGGAUGGACUCGCGGCUUAUCAGCUUGUUGGUGGGGUAGUGGCUUACCAAGGCUUUGACGGGUAGCCGGCCUGAGAGGGUGACCGGCCACAUUGGGACUGAGAUACGGCCCAGACUCCUACGGGAGGCAGCAGUGGGGAAUAUUGCACAAUGGGUGGAAGCCUGAUGCAGCAACGCCGUGUGCGGGAUGACGGCCUUCGGGUUGUAAACCGCUUUCGCUCAUGACGAAGCUUUGUGUGACGGUAGUGGGUAAAGAAGCACCGGCUAACUACGUG